RNAcentral lists this ribosomal RNA (400 nucleotides) under uncultured Glomeromycotina. Its description in RNAcentral is "bacterial SSU rRNA". It matches the Rfam family "Eukaryotic small subunit ribosomal RNA", at positions 569 to 972 of the family's 1831-position model. Lineage: Eukaryota; Fungi; Glomeromycota. The record is from RNAcentral.
AGCAGCCGCGGUAAUUCCAGCUCCAAUAGCGUAUAUUAAAGUUGUUGCAGUUAAAAGCUCGUAGUUGAACCUUAGGCCCGUGCGGGUGGUCCGUCCUCAGGGAGAGUACUGCCUCGUUGCGGGUCUCACCUUCUGGCGAGCGUGGAUGCCAUUUAUUUGGUGUCUGCGGGAACCAGGACCUUUACCUUGAAAAAUUAGAGUGCUCAAAGCGGGCUCUUGCGCUUGAAUACAUUAGCAUGGAAUAAUGAAAUAGGACGAUGGUUCUAUUUUGUUGGUUUCUGGGACCGUCGUAAUGAUUAAUAGGGAUAGUUGGGGGCAUUCGUAUUCAAUUGUCAGAGGUGAAAUUCUUGGAUUUAUUGAAGACGGACUACUGCGAAAGCAUUUGCCAAGGAUGUUUUCA